This 252-nucleotide unclassified non-coding RNA is filed under the name Pleosporormiella terricola. Its description in RNAcentral is "Preussia terricola partial internal transcribed spacer region". The stretch from base 1 to 46 matches the Rfam family "Eukaryotic small subunit ribosomal RNA", at positions 1786 to 1831 of the family's 1831-position model. The record is from RNAcentral. Lineage: Eukaryota; Fungi; Ascomycota; Dothideomycetes; Pleosporales; Sporormiaceae.
AAGUCGUAACAAGGUUUCCGUAGGUGAACCUGCGGAAGGAUCAUUAUCGUGGGGCUUCGGCCCCGUCGAGAUUGCACCCUUGCCUUUAUAGUACCUUGGUUCCCUCCCGUACCUCCGGGACGGGAGGGACCUCGUCUGUUUCCCCGCGGCGGCGAGAGCCCCCGGGGACCGCGAAACACGCUGUAACCACCUGUAACUGUCUGAUAAACAAACAAAAAAUCAAAACUUUCAACAACGGAUCUCUUGGUUCUG